GAGUUUGAUCCUGGCUCAGGACGAACGCUGGCGGCGUGCUUAACACAUGCAAGUCGAGCGAUGAAGCUUCCUUCGGGAGGUGGAUUAGCGGCGGACGGGUGAGUAACACGUGGGUAACCUGCCUCAAAGUGGGGGAUAGCCUUCCGAAAGGAAGAUUAAUACCGCAUAAUAUAGAGAAUCGCAUGAUUUUCUUAUCAAAGAUUUAUUGCUUUGAGAUGGACCCGCGGCGCAUUAGCUAGUUGGUAAGGUAACGGCUUACCAAGGCAACGAUGCGUAGCCGACCUGAGAGGGUGAUCGGCCACAUUGGAACUGAGACACGGUCCAGACUCCUACGGGAGGCAGCAGUGGGGAAUAUUGCGCAAUGGGGGAAACCCUGACGCAGCAACGCCGCGUGGGUGAUGAAGGUCUUCGGAUUGUAAAGCCCUGUUUUCUAGGACGAUAAUGACGGUACUAGAGGAGGAAGCCACGGCUAACUACGUGCCAGCAGCCGCGGUAAUACGUAGGUGGCGAGCGUUGUCCGGAUUUACUGGGCGUAAAGGGUGCGUAGGCGGAUGUUUAAGUGGGAUGUGAAAUCCCCGGGCUUAACCUGGGGGCUGCAUUCCAAACUGGAUAUCUAGAGUGCAGGAGAGGAAAGCGGAAUUCCUAGUGUAGCGGUGAAAUGCGUAGAGAUUAGGAAGAACACCAGUGGCGAAGGCGGCUUUCUGGACUGUAACUGACGCUGAGGCACGAAAGCGUGGGUAGCAAACAGGAUUAGAUACCCUGGUAGUCCACGCCGUAAACGAUGGAUACUAGGUGUAGGGGGUAUCAACUCCCCCUGUGCCGCAGUUAACACAAUAAGUAUCCCGCCUGGGGAGUACGGUCGCAAGAUUAAAACUCAAAGGAAUUGACGGGGGCCCGCACAAGCAGCGGAGCAUGUGGUUUAAUUCGAAGCAACGCGAAGAACCUUACCUGGACUUGACAUCCCUUGCAUAGCCUAGAGAUAGGUGAAGCCCUUCGGGGCAAGGAGACAGGUGGUGCAUGGUUGUCGUCAGCUCGUGUCGUGAGAUGUUAGGUUAAGUCCUGCAACGAGCGCAACCCUUGUUAUUAGUUGCUACCAUUAAGUUGAGCACUCUAAUGAGACUGCCUGGGUAACCAGGAGGAAGGUGGGGAUGACGUCAAAUCAUCAUGCCCCUUAUGUCCAGGGCUACACACGUGCUACAAUGGUAGGUACAAUAAGACGCAAGACCGUGAGGUGGAGCAAAACUUAUAAAACCUAUCUCAGUUCGGAUUGUAGGCUGCAACUCGCCUACAUGAAGCUGGAGUUGCUAGUAAUCGCGAAUCAGAAUGUCGCGGUGAAUACGUUCCCGGGCCUUGUACACACCGCCCGUCACACCAUGAGAGCUGGUAACACCCGAAGUCCGUGAGGUAACCGUAAGGAACCAGCGGCCGAAGGUGGGAUUAGUGAUUGGGGUGAAGUCGUAACAAGGUAGCCGUAGGAGAACCUGCGGCUGGAUCACC
Molecule: ribosomal RNA, 1497 nt
Filed under: Clostridium botulinum CDC_1436
Lineage: Bacteria; Bacillati; Bacillota; Clostridia; Eubacteriales; Clostridiaceae
Description: bacterial SSU rRNA
Rfam family: Bacterial small subunit ribosomal RNA
Source: RNAcentral